AACAGGCACUUGUGCAGGUUCCCCAUAAAAAUGACUGAUUUGGGUCUUACCAAGAGCUCUGGCACUGCUCCAGCACGAGAAAGAAUUACAUUUCUAGGGAGGUUCAUCAAGAUGGGAAUAGUGGAACAAACAUUUGAAAUGUCCAGUGUAAUCCUCUGUCUUCCCCCAAACAAGCCUCCCUGGGCAGGAUUUGCAGCCCUUCUGGAAUGAAAGCUUCCUGAAAGGAACCUGUUUCCCUGGGGGACUGCCCAGCUCUCAGCCCUGCUUCUGGGGGAAGGAAGAUGAAGGAGGGCAGCAGGACAAUGAUCUGCACCACAUGCCCUGUGCUGAGACACAUAAUGGGGCUGGGGGAGCUUUUCUGUGGAAACACUCUGGUCCUGGAUUGAAACCCUGCCCAGCUCCCUUGGAAUGAGAUACAAAGGAUAAAGAAAUCUGGAUCACAGUGAUAAGGUCCUGAAGGGGGGACCAGGCCCAGCAGCCUGAAAAGCAGUGAUGUUAUGAUUGGGGUGAAAGUUCUGGCAGAGGAACAGGAACAGCCAAGCCCUUGCUUUGGAAAACAUGCAACAAUCUUUGAAGGGCACCAUCCAGCACCAAUUCCAGAGGAGCAUCCACAGCACCUACACAGGCAAAGGGAUGGGACUGUUAAGCCAGACUUUAUUAUUUCUGCAGAGAUUUGCUGUCCUUAAUUUGCAUAGAACUGCCUUUGAUUAAAAAUUGCCUGUCACAGAAGCACCUCGGUGAUUUUUUUUUUGGAGCAGUCAUCUCUUCUCCUAAUGAGGAUAUAUUUUAUGCAAGGGUGUUGUUUGGCCUCCUGACCUGCUGGAGUGACUGAGCCCCUCGGGCAGUGGGGAAUCCCACCGGCUGCCUCGAGCCACAUCCACAGCAACCAUCGGCACCUCCACACGGCUGAGGUUGCAUUGCCACUGCUCUGUGCCAAGGUUGUCCCAGAAUCGUUGAAUCCUGAAGGCUGGAAAAGUGUUCCUGUGGCUGAACACCACCAUGUCAACUAAACCACGUCACCAAGUGCCACCUCUGCUUGUCUUCUGAUCACUCCAGGGGUGGGGACUCCACCACUCACCUGGGCAGCCUGUUCCAAUGCUUCACCACUCCUUCAGUGAAGAAACUUUUCCUGAUAUCCCACCUGACCUCUCCUGGCACAGCUUGAGGCCGUUUCCCCUUGUCAAUUGUCUAAUGAACCACGUGGUCAGCAGCAACUGUGCCUCCUGCCCAUCCACCCCCUGUUCUUAGAGCAGGUUGAUCUGGAUGCUGUGACUUACCUGGUCCUGCCCUGCUCCUCACUGGGAUCCUCAGCGCUGCUCUCUGGGAUGGAAAUGAUGAUAACAGCGAGUGGAAAAUCCCAGCUCCAGCCCCUUCCUGCAGAGCAGAGCUCUGAUUGACUUGGGAACAGCCCCAGGGACUUUAUCUUGGGAUUUUAUCUCUGAGGAAGGACUUGCUCCUGCUCCAAACACUCCAAGGAUGCUGCUGCUUCUGCUCAGGGAUGGUUUAACUGGGAAGAAUUGAUCCUAAACAGGCACUCAUCACUUCCAGCUAAUUCCACCCUGUUUGCAGAUGGAACAGAACAGCUCUGCAGCUCAGAGGCUCUGACAGACUGAGACCACAAGUGGAACAGGCUUCUCCUGGAAAUCCUGAGGAUUGCUUUUGGCUUAGCACUGUCAGAGCACUUGGAAUCAUUCCUGGCUGCGAAGAAUUCUAAUAAUGUGAGGAUUAGAAAUAAGCCCCAUUUAUAUGGCAAAUUUUUCCAAUCAAAUCAUUAAUGCAGGUGGAAGGGAGACUCACUCCAAGAGUGUGUGUGGGACAGCAAAGGGCUGCCAAAAAUGCGUAUUCCUGACCUUAAAUCCAUGAGGAUCCUCUGUGGACACAACCCCAUCCCAGGAAUGGUGAGAGCUCAACAAAGGACCAGUAGGGUAUUUCUUCGAGAUAAGUGAUAAAAAUGGCAAGAACUGGGAACUAGCCGGUGAGUGAGCUGCCUGGAGAUGUGCAGCACUCCCAGGAGCUCUGGGAGAAGGUGCUUCACCCUCGGAGCUCUGGAAGGCUUUCCUGUGCCAGGGCUGCUGCUGCAUCUUUAGCAAAUCAAACUACUUGCACGUCUUUCUGAGGCAAAUGCAAGAGUGUGGUGGAAGAAACAGCAGGUGCAAGGAGAGUGUCAUGCCAGGGAUCAGGGAUCUCGGCUGAGCUUGGAGUGUCACUGAGAUUUGAGGACAAGCAGGGCUUGCUCUCUGCACAAAGUGGGGUAAUGACGUAGUUAUACCCCAUUUGGGCUGAAUUCACAGUGCUGGGAAAGCCAAUGGAGCAAAAAUGUACAACUGCCAGCCAAGGAGCCAAGUUCUGGCUUAUUGCUGAUGGUCAGUGCAGUUACACCAUCACCUACCAGCAGCUGAGACCCACCAAGGGCAGGUGCUCCAGGCAGCCCUCAGACUAUCAACCACUGGAACCACAGCUCUCAAAAGGCACCUGAAGCAAGAGCUGGUUGAGCUCGGGGCUGUAAAUGGCCAAAUCUCCUGGGGGUUGUAGUCAUGGGUGGGAAAAGCCUGGAAAAAAACAAAUCUACCAGGAGAAUGUGUGAAUUUGUCAUCCAGAAGGGAGUCACUGAGACAACUGUGUAAUAUCUCUCACUGUAUUUCUCACACUAAUGCCAGAUGGCCUGGAAUGGGAUCCCCCACGUUCUCCUGCGAGUCUGAGGAGACGAGAAAAUAAACAUGGAAAAUGUCUGUGGUGAUGGAAUCGGAUUGGCUCUGCCUUGUAAGCUUGGGGACAGUGGCCACACAUCAGGUGCCUUCAGCAGCUACCAAAGGACUGACAGACCCCAGCAGGUGUAAAGAGGUCCUUUCCAGCCCAAACCACUCUGGGAUUCUACAAAAAACAAGAUUUGGCAGCAAUUCCAGUUGGUUGUGUUUGUGUUGCCUGGGCACAGCCAGACAAGGCGUAUUUUACCCCAGCUGGGCUGUUGGAGUGGAAAUCCAUCCCUCUGCUGCUCCAUCACCUGCAGGACCAUCCUGGGAGCGAUCAGGACUCAGUUACCUCCCAGCUACAGGACAAGACUGUGAGGAAUUCCAGCUCAGCCUUUCAUCACUGAACAGUGCAGAAGGAACGUCUCUUCUGAACUGCAGCGGGAGCGAGGAGGAAGGGGGGGAAAUUAAUGAUAUCACCAAAUUGAAACUCUUUCAAGUUCCCUUUAAUUGCAGAGGGCACAGGGAGCUCAUUCAGCUUCGAUUCUCUGAUCUCUUGCUCUCCCCAAGGGGUGAGUUUUCCUCUCCUCCCACAUCUCACGCGAUUUUCCCGGGGUGUUGAGCCUGGUGGAGGGAAAUGAGGUGGAUUCCUGGCUCCUGCUCCUGCAGAGCCAUUCCUGAUGGGAUUUGGGCUGUGGAACAGCAGCCAGAGCUGUCCAGGGAGGGCAGGGCCAGGUCAGUAGAGCUCUUCACCCUCCGUGGUCCCACCUUCAUCACCUGAGCUUUGCCUCUGAUCUUUCCUUGAUUACGUAGGAGGAGGGUCAGAAAUCCUCCAAACAAAGCUCUGACCACCAGGUCUGCAGUGGUGGGACCUUCCCUGCCUGAGCUGUGACCAGACCCCUGCUGGCAGCUGGGGUGCCCUGGUGGAUGGGAUGCCCAUGGGAUGCCUCCAGCUCAUUUAGGCCCCUGGCACAGGGAAGGUGCUGAUGUCUCUCCAAGAAGGUUCCUGCUCCUCACUCCAGCUUCCAGCUCCAGGAAUGCUCAGCACCACACCACGCUGUGCCUGGUUUUGGAGCUCCUGGGAGCUUCAGUGCCUGCCUCAACAACGUUAAGGAAGGCUGAAAGAUGAGAUUUUAAAGCAUUUAUUGAUUUUGCUUUAAUAUUCUGGUAUUUCUUUCCCAUCAGCAGACUAUUUACUUUAUGUAGUGCGCUGUGGGGUAAGUAUAUUCCCAGAAAUGAUGCACAGAAUGGGAUCUCCUGUAUGAGCAUAUGGAUAUCAAAUGAAAAAUCAGCUGUAAAUCACUUCAAAUCAGGAAUAGAAAUGGCACCCAGGAGCUGCACUCUGCAGGUAUCUGUGCUCUGGAGCCAGGGUGGGAAGGGUGGCCCUUCCUGAGCAGGGAGGGCUGGGAUUCCUUGGCAUCCAUGGAUGUGCAGCCUUUGGGACCCCAGAGCUGUGCAGGGCUGGGUUUCUAGGGCAAUGGGCUGGGAAAGCCAGGGAUGGGAUGGGGGCCCUGCCCUGUUCCCCCCGAUUUUACCUGGGUUUUUAUUACCAGAUAGACCCUUCCUUCCUGUUUUCCCUCGUUUUUGUGUUGCUGCUGUUGAAGUGGUUUCUGUGCUCCCUGAGCCCUCCCCUGGGAGCAGGGCAAAGAUGAGCCUGCCAGCACUGUCCCAGCUGGCAGCAAGGGUUGAUUGAUUCCCUGGCCCACCCUGCCCUCACCCUUCUGCUUUUCCAUCCCCUCCUUGUCCCAUCCAGCCAUCCCAGUGACCCGUGGGGACCCAACCCCUCCUUCCUCCCAGAAUGGGUUGGGUUGGGAGGGACCUUAAAGCUCAUCUCCUUCCACCCCCUGCCGUGGGCAGGGACACCUUCCUUCCACCAGCCCAGGCCCAGCCUGGCCUUGGACACUUCCAGGGCUGGUGACUCCACCAUUUAAAUCCAAUCCCAGGGAUUGCUUUGUCUCCUCUUGCUUAAAAUGUUAAAAAGAAAAAAAAAAAAAAAGCUUUAGCCCAUCAGCAAAGCCAGUGCCUCAAAUUAAAUUCUGUGAUAAAAGCAAAUGAAGUGUAAUUGAGAAGAGCCAAGAGGAAUUUUCCCUGGGAUAAGGAAUUCCCUGGGAUGGUUUUGCCACGUGAGCUGUCCCUCUGUGUCCCCCCAAUGUCCCCACUGGCACUGGGGCACUUGGCUGCUGCUCCUGUGGAUCUUUCACAGGUGUCUUUCCCCUUCCACGGGAGACCUUCGCUCAUGGUAAUGAAAGAAUUAGGCUGAGCCAUCAGGAAUUAAGGAGAACUGUCCUGACACGUAUUCCCAGAGAUGCUGCUGAUGGAAAAUGUCUCCUGUGGAGCUGCUCCACUGCAGACAUGAAUAUUGCAGAGCACACAGCCCAUCUCUGGUAGCUCCUUGACCAUGAAAUUGCCCAUGAAAUAGGAAUCUAUUGUUUAUCAUGCUAAUUGGGAACCCAAAAGUUUAUUUAAAGGUCGCUGGAAAGCCGUGAGAAAUAUCCUGCUAUGGGAAGGAAAGAAAAAUCAAGAAGCCAUAGGGGGGUUUGGUUAUUUAGUAGAAUGUUAUUCCUAAUAUUUAAGAUGCUUUCUGAGCUGUGCAUUAAAUUAAUAAGGGAGAUGAAGGAGUGUUUUAAUGUAACUUAGUGUGAAAGGAGGCUUCAGAAUUUAUUUUAUUCAUAGAUUUUUGCAUCAAAGGUCCUAUAAUGAUUAAUUUUCAAACUUACAGGUUUUAAUAGCAAAAUAAGAAAUAAUAGCACCAAAGUUCCUUUGAAAUACUUAAUAAAAUGCUGUUCUUUAGAGCACUAAAUGGCUUCCUAAUGCCACCAGUACUUCAAAGAGCAGCAUUCUUUGCCAUAUUUCUAUUUGGUUUUCUACCCUGCACUCUCUGUGUGUAAGAUAGAAAUAUUUUCAGAUGGGCAAGAUUAAGGUAUUGUUUUAUUCCAACAAACCCCUGAAAAUCUGCACUGAGGGCUUGGUAGGGCACAAGUGUAAAUGCAAGUUAAUCUGAAGGUACAGAAGGUUCCUUGGCCUUCCAAAUUCCGGGACAAACUGCAACUAUCCCAGCAGGCAGGAGAGCUCCUUGUUCUCAGGGUGCCUGAGGUGGGGCUGAUGCACAGAGGGACUGACAGAGCCCCAGAUCCAAAUGUCUUUUUAGGAAAAGGUGUUUCUUUCCCUCAUGGACAAGAAGCCUCUUCGUGUCAAAGCAGGGGCUCCAUCCCCUGAGUGCCCCCCCUCAGAGGGCACUGGAGACAGGGAAGCUCCUCCUGGGAUGCUCUAAAACAAAACCCCAGGAUUGGGCCCUUCCAGCACCCAGGAAGGCAGAGGGCAGCUGGGAUUGCAGGCUGGAAUCAUCCAGAAGGGCCUCUGAUUGUAAAUUGGAGCAUGCAGAGGAUUAAUUGCCAGCAGGUGUCAGCGACAAGAAGUUCCUCUCUGAUCUGGGCAGGGGGUGACUCUGAGUGUUCCCCUGCAUUGUUCUGUUCUUGCCAUUGUUCAGGAGAGCAGAAAACAAAACUCUACGUGAGGAAAUGGGAUAAACAACUUUGCUGCUGUCAGAAAGGAAAAAAAAGGCAGUGCAAGACUGUUAAUUAGGAAAUUACUGCAUGAAAAUAAUAAUUAGGGAGGCCAGACACUGGUGAGAAGCCAACCUGUAGUUUCCCAACCUGCCCUGAGCGAAGGGUUAGACACAACCUGCCCCAACAAUUUACUAGGGUUCCUUCCUCCCUGUGUUGUGGGAAAAUGAGUGCAUUUAGCAAUUAGCAGAGCUGGUGAUUGACUCCUGGUCAUCCCCAGGAUGACCCUCUGGCUGCCCUUGUCUCUCCAUGCCCGGGCACAGGGCUCAGCCUGGGAGGUCCAUGUGGAUUAGACAGGGCAGGAGGUCCUGCCAUCCCCACUGCUCCUCAGGAGGAGGGGAGGAGAUGCAGGGCCCUUUAAUUAGGGGGCUGCUCCCUGUGGAGGGCAAAUGGAGCAGGAGGAGAAGGGUUCUCUCCAGGAGGUGAUUCCCUGCCCCCCCAGCUCCAGGCUGCCUGCUCUGUUAUCUGCAGGCUCUGGGGAGAGCGAGUCCUGGGGGGAGCUGAUGCAAGCAGGGCAUCAACCUGGUCACACAGUGAGUGGCCUUGCUGUCCUUGGGGUGCUCUGGGAGAAUCCAUGAAGGAAUUGCUGCUGAGAACCAGCACUCUGCAAAUUCCUGCCUCGAUCUGCUCUCCAUCCACACAAACCAGACCCUGCUGAGGUCACUCCUGAGCGAGCCCUGGGUGUGGAGCUGUGCCAGGGCAGGCUCAGGGUGGAUCUCAGGAGGUUCUUCCCCCAGAGGGUGGCUGGCACUGAACAGGCUCCCCAGGGCAGUGGGCACAGCCCCAAGGCUGCCAGAGCUCC
Long non-coding RNA from Myiozetetes cayanensis, 7052 nucleotides. RefSeq lists it as uncharacterized. The record is from RefSeq and is a predicted model, not a curated record. The transcript has 17 exons. Lineage: Eukaryota; Metazoa; Chordata; Aves; Passeriformes; Tyrannidae.